RNAcentral lists this non-coding RNA (21 nucleotides) under Caenorhabditis elegans. The record is from RNAcentral. Lineage: Eukaryota; Metazoa; Nematoda; Chromadorea; Rhabditida; Rhabditidae.
UUGUUUUCAGAAGCACAAUUU